Acyrthosiphon pisum (pea aphid) is the source of this 273-nucleotide long non-coding RNA. RefSeq lists it as uncharacterized. The transcript has 3 exons. The record is from RefSeq and is a predicted model, not a curated record. NCBI's taxonomy places the organism in Eukaryota, Metazoa, Arthropoda, Insecta, Hemiptera, Aphididae.
UUUCGACCGUUUUCACUGUCGUUGUCAUUCUCUGCAUUCUCUGAAGCACAUUCAUUUUCCACGACCUGAUCCAUAAUACAUUCAGUUUCCACUGCCUGAUCCAUAAUAUAUUCAGUUUCGACCGUUUCACUGUUGUUGUCAUUCUCUGCGUUCUCUGAAGUUAUUUGUAGAUAGUUACCUGUGGAGUUGUCCAAUGGAAUUUCUUCUAUCAAAAAAUCUUUGUUUUUGCUCCAAAGAUUAACUAUUUGUUGUAGCUGACAUAUCCUUCUUUCA